GAGUCCGCGGCCGAUUAGCUAGUUGGCGGGGUAACGGCCCACCAAGGCGAAGAUCGGUAGCCGGCCUGAGAGGGCACACGGCCACACUGGCACUGAAACACGGGCCAGACUCCUACGGGAGGCAGCAGUGGGGAAUCUUGCACAAUGGGCGAAAGCCUGAUGCAGCGACGCCGCGUGAGCGAUGAAGCCCUUCGGGGUGUAAAGCUCUUUCGACGGGAACGAUAAUGACGGUACCCGGAGAAGAAGCUGCGGCUAACUACGUGCCAGCAGCCGCGGUAAUACGUAGGCAGCGAGCGUUGUUCGGAAUUACUGGGCGUAAAGAGUGUGUAGGCGGUGUUCCCAGUCUGUUGUGAAAUCUCCCGGCUUAACUGGGAGGGUGCAGCGGAAACUAGAAUGCUAGAGGGUGGGAGAGGUAAGCGGAAUUCCUGGUGUAGCGGUGAAAUGCGUAGAUAUCAGGAGGAACACCUGUGGUGUAGACAGCUUACUGGACCACUUCUGACGCUGAGACACGAAAGCGUGGGUAGCAAACAGGAUUAGAUACCCUGGUNGUNCACGCCCUAAACGAUGCAUACUUGGUGUGAGCGAUUCAUUUCGUUCGUGCCGGAGCUAACGCGUUAAGUAUGCCGCCUGGGGAGUACGG
Molecule: ribosomal RNA, 640 nt
Filed under: uncultured bacterium
Lineage: Bacteria
Description: bacterial SSU rRNA
Rfam family: Bacterial small subunit ribosomal RNA
Source: RNAcentral